This 23408-nucleotide long non-coding RNA is filed under the name Musa acuminata (dwarf banana). Its description in RNAcentral is "long non-coding RNA (MACU_LNC001588)". Lineage: Eukaryota; Viridiplantae; Streptophyta; Magnoliopsida; Zingiberales; Musaceae. The record is from RNAcentral.
GUUAGCAGAAUGUAGCACUUUUGAGCUAUUAUGAUGCAUGGACAUAGUAUUGAUGAGAAAGAAUGCCAUCAGAGUCAAAAAAAAAAAAGUGAAAGAGUAUCAGUAAAAGCAAAGCAGAAAGACUUGGGUUAUCACAUAACUGCAGCUAGGUAUUCCCUCGGGAACAAAGAAGAAAAAAGAAAAUGCAUUUUUAGCAGGAAAUUAAAAACUUACCUAAAUGUCCUGGCAGAAAACCUUGGUAUAGGGCCACUAAAAUUGUUGAAAGACAAAUCCCUGAAGCAUAAAAAUAGCAAAAAGUAAAAAAAAAAUCUUUUUAACAGUAAUAUCUCAUUAGAGAGAUUAUUUUUCAUAUAAAUGAAACAGUAAAUAGACAAACUUACAGGAAAGUGAGUUCAGUGAUACUUGCCAAAGCCAGAGGAAAUGCACCAGAGAGACUGUUAUUAUUUAGCCUUCUGUUCUCAUUCCACAGAAAGAACAAAAAAAAACAUGGAAGUAAACCAAUAGUUAGAAACUACAACAUUUCUUUCUUCUAUUAUGGCCUUUCAAGAUUAACCAAAACAAUGUGGGUUAACUCCAUUUUUCUUUAGAAACAACUUACAGGUACUGAAGACCCUUCAGGUGUCCCAGUGAAGCAGGGAUUUCACCAUGGAAGUGGUUGCUGGAGAGGUCAAGCUUGUGGAGCUUGGAAAGCUUCCCAAUUUCUGGUGGUAUUGAUCCUGAGAUGUAGUUAUUCUGCAGGAGCCUACAAAAGCAUCCAAAUAUCAGCUACUAGUGAGGACCUAUUUGACCAAGCACUUAUCAAGAAAUUGCUUACACAAACUCAAGAUUUGUCAAGUUGCCAAUGCUUGGAGAAAGUGUUCCAGACAUAUUCUGGCUUGGAGUUUCUCUGUGAAAAUUAUAUCAUCAGAAUGACUUCAGAUUCUCAUACAAGUAUUACAAGGGAGGAGAGAAAGAAAAAUCCACAUUUAUUUCCAAGUGAUACUCACAGGCCAAUGACCAGAUUUUCAGGUGAGCAUGAGACCAUACUCCAGCUGCAUGGAUCAACAGAGUCCCUGUCCCAAUUCCCAAGAACACCAUGAGGAUCCUUGAGUGAUGCUUUUAUGUCCAUUAGAGCUUGCACUGCAAAACAAAUUAAAAAUCAAGACUUUCAUCCAUAGAGAGAUUGGAAAGGGAAGAGGCAUGGUGCAUGUUCUACCUUCAAAGUUAACACCUUUAGGGGAAAGCAAAGCAGAUGCAAAGCCCAAGGUCCAGAAGAAGACCACCCAAUGGAGCACAGCCCUUCCCUUCUUUGUUCCCAUUGAUGAGCUCACUCGCUCCACAGAGCAGCCCAUGAAUGGCUUUAUAAUUUGCAGGGAUACAUGGUGGAGUCAGCAGGUGGUGAAACCAUCGAUGAUGUUUCUCCUUUCCAUCACCUCUCUCUCAUUUCAGCAGCCAUGAAAACCCAGUAGGCUUGAUGCCUUGGUAGCAUGUAAAGGAGGGAGGAACAGAGACAUGCCUGCCACUAGGGUAUGCCUCUCUACUUUGAGGAGGAAUGGAGUAUAUUUCUCCAACAGAAUCAAACUUAGAACAGAACAUUUCCGCUCUACCACUGGAUCAGAGGAGGGGGAGGGAGUGAAAGCCACUUGACGCACAAAAGAGCCCUUGAUGAUGGUGCUUAAGGGACAAGACGAUGCGAAAUGGGCCUCACGGGGUCCACGCCAUGUCCCAAAGCUUGCUGCUGCACUCGAUCCCCGGCAGCUGCAACCUCGAAUCGAUGCCGACUGACGGAUAAGCCAUGCCUUGGUGGGGCAAGAACGGACAGGUUGCGACAAAGAUAGCGGGAGAUCAUGGCCGCGACCUCGCAUCGAGCUGUCGCGAACAAGCAUCUAAGCAGCGUCCAGUGCCCGUGCGAUCUCAUUCCGGGAGUGCAACCAUCCUCUGCGAUCCACGACAGCGACUGAGCUCGGUGGUCCAUUUGGCUCGAUCGCCCCGAGGAACAAUUCUGAGCCCCAAGCAGGAAGCUUUGUUGUGCCUCACCGAGAACAUCUGAAUCAUAACAAGAUGCUGCAAUGGAUGAUGCCCUCUAAGCUUGGCUGGUCCACUUGGUCAAGACAAAGACACAUAGACCAAGGAAGCUGUUAAGGUUAACAACACAGUANNNNNNNNNNNNNNNNNNNNUAUAUAUAUAUAUAUAUAUAUAUAUAUAUAUAUAUAUAUAUAUAUAUAUAUAUAUAUAUAUAUUUAUACAUAUAUAUUUAUAUAUGUAUAUAUAUAUGUAUAUUUAUACAUAUAUAUGUAUAUAUGUAUAUGUAUAUAUAUAUGUAUAUAUAUAUGUAUAUAUAUAUGUGCAUAUACAUAUAUGUAUAUAUGUAUAUGUGUAUGUAUAUGUAUAUACACAUAUACAUAUAUAUAUAUAUAUAACUCAAAAUUAAGAAAAAAAUAAAUCACUUAUUUAUUGGAUUCAGCUACAUUUCCCUUGAGCUCACUGAGGAAGUUUUACAACAAGACAAAAGUCAAGGAGAGAUGAACAAGACAAUUUAAUUGAGACAGGCUAGGGUUAUGCUUUGGUUAUAGGGCAUUGGAGUUUACAGCUCCUGAAACAAGGAGUGGUCCAUAUAUUGGGAUGUGUGGAGGAAGAACACAACACAUCUUGGUUGGCUGUCCUUGCUCUGUUUUAGUGAGAUUAUUAUGUGUGGCACAGUUUCAAAUGUGUUGAUGGUGUUGACACUGAGGUCAGAUGUUUCAUUGGAACAGCAUGUGAAGGAAGACAGUGAGGAGAAGACAAUUUGAUGAUGUGCAUGGGUGCUUCAGGAUGAUUAGUCUGCAGCCUGAGAGAGAUGCAUUCAUUACCACCCUCAGUAGCCAUGAGCAGGCCACUGCAAAAGGGAUGAGCAAAUGACAGGCUCAGGGUGGGGAUCAAAGCAGGCAGCCAAUCAAAAGCAAAAGCUGUCACAUCUGGCAUUCCUUUUCCUGCUUUCUUCAUGCAAACAAAUUAAGUGCAGAUGUUUUAUUUGCGCAUUAAUUAUUUAGGGUAACCUAAAAACUGAACUCGAGACAAAUAACAGCAAUGGAGUGCCUCUCGAGACAAAGAACAAAUUACAAAGCAGAAAGAAAUGAUUAUUCCAAAGUUAAAUACUGAACUCGAUUUCGACUAGCUGGACAACCGCAGCAUGCAAAACAAUAAAGCUUGCUGAGAUUCACAAUAAUGCAGCAUGUUUACAUGAAAAUAAAUAACUCGGUCUAUGUGCCAAAAGGAUCAAGAACAGCAGUUAAAAAUAUUGACGGAGCAUCUAAUUGUGGUUCCAACUGAGACAGAUUAUGAUGAAAGAAAUCACCAAGCAAAGCUUCAACCUCCUAAUAGCAUAAAAGGCUUCGAGCGAGGGCACUAGAAAGAAAGUCAAGGCAUGCAAAUUCAUCUAUUCCUCCCUUGAUGUAGGGUCCAUUCCGGUGGAAGGGUUGUCGGCGAAGUAUUCUUGGUGUUUCAAGUUCACUCCAUACUGUUCAGUGAUAACAAACUGGCAUUAGCUUUGAGAAAUUAAAAAAAAAAUGCUUCUUGAUAUGUAGCUGACAUUCAGACAUCAAUAUCUGAAGACAUGCUUGAAAUAUGCAUAUACAUAUAGAGAGGGAUCCAUGUAAUUAUAACAAAUUCAUUUUAGCAUAAGCACUUCAUCUCCAUUAUGGUGAUUAUAUUCUGAUAGAAGAUCCAAGUGCACGUAACCCUAAAAGACAAGAACAUAAAGGAGAAUUAUGCACUAAAAUUAAUAAAUCUCUAAUCAGCAUUAAUAUUUAAUUUAAUUAAUUGAUGAUGCAUGAUGCCACUUGAUAGUUAAGCUGCAUGAUUAAUCGAGUGAGAAACUAAUGAAGCAACAAAACAUAAUUCUUCACUUAAUUUUGAAAUUGAUUUGUCAUGAAAGAGAAAUGUGGUUACUAAAUUGUCUGAAAAGUUCAAUUUUAUCUUCUGUUUAAGUAAGCUGGUAAACAUCAGUGUAUUAAAUUGAUGACACACACAACUCAUUCAUGAUCUAUUUGACCACAGGAACACAAAGAAUCACCAAUGCAUGUGGCCUACAGAAGAAGCUACUUUUCUGCCGUAUGCAGAUAUCUACAGGUUCAAGCAUCUGGAUGAUCCUCUAAAUGCUCCUCCAAAUUUUGUGCCAUUUUUUCCCAAAUAUAAUGCCCACAUAUAUCAACAUACCAAGUUAUCAAAAUAUAGAGUACCAGACUACUACUUCUGGUCGUCUAGAAAAAGUUCAGAAACAGAGAUGAAAUAUUUACUUACCUCUUGGAGGGAUUUUGAAAGAUCCUCCAUUGCUAAGACAAGCCUCUUAUCCUGCAGCAUAAAAACUUAAUCACCUAGAGUACAAGAGUAAACAUCAGAUUUUAUUAAUUAAGAAGGGAUGUCGCAGGCCCAGCACCUUUGGCUGCUUGCUCUUAUCCUUAACUGGCGCUGCUUGCCUGGCCUUGCAAUGCCUAGUUAAGUAUUGCAAAGAAAAUGAAAGAGAAAGCAUUAGUAACCAUAUUUUCAAAAAGACUUAUCAAAGAUCUUUUUAAAGGGAGCUGGAAGGUGAAAAGAAGCUUCACUUAGUGAGAGCUUGUUGCUGCCCUAACUGCAUCUUGUAUAAUUGUCUUAACAGUUAGAGACAAACAUAUUCAGCAUUUAAUUCCUCAAAUUGGAAAACCUAUAGCUUUUCUUCUCAUUUAGGAGAUGAAUAUUACCUUAAUGCAUGGAACAGAAAGUGAAGAAUAAAAUAAUCCUAUUGAAAAUAUUACAAUUCUAAGGAUGGAAUUUGUCCUUAAUCCCUUAGACUGAGUAGGGAAAAUAGAGAAGUAUGCUGAGUAUUCCGACAACAAUAAAUAAACUUGUUGAAUAGCCAUGUAGGAGAGAUGGAAUUUUGCCAAGACCCAUAACCAAUGAAACAAAGGUCAGGCAAUAUUCAGCAACUAUAAAAAAAAACUCACUGAUCAGAUUGUAUGGAUCAACCAAUAAUGUCCUACCAUCAAACUGGCAUUUGCCUGCAUGUACCAUGUUUUAAUACAAACAAAAUGGUGAACGAAAAUAUGAGAACAUUGACUGCCUGAAUAAACCACUUCAAAGGAAAUUAUUUUUCUGCACUAUGAAAUGCAAGAAUUUAUUAUUUUUCACAAUUAAACAUCAAAACAUAUAUUGUUUACACAACCAGUAAUCCACAUUUAAACUACAAGCAGAAAUAACAUUUUAGAUCAUAAUUAAUCAUUCAUUCCAUUAAAGUGGAAAUGUCUCAUAUUCAACCAAAUAUCCAUGAUUACAAGAUGCAAUUAAUAAAAUAGAAAUGAAAGAGAACAACCGAAAAACAAAUGGAAUGCAUAAAAAUAAAACAUACUGAAGAGCAUCAUUUGCAACCUCCAACAUAAACUUUUGCGUUGCGACAGAUACCAGCCUGGUUCUGACAAAAAAACAGAAAGUACUAAAAUAUUAAGCACAAAGAAAAACAAGCAAAAUUCCUCAUUUUCAAAGAUAUUAAAAAUAAAAACAUGACACCUCAAAGUUUGCAACAGAAUAGCACAACUGUCAUAUGAUAGUUCUGACAACAUUUUGCAGGACUUUUUGUGUUUUUCUUCAUUAAGUGACAAAAGAUUAUAUAUUUUAAUAUAUCAUUGGCAAUUUGCGCUCCAAUAUAUGUUUUUCUUCUCCAACUCAGAAGCACUAUAUUUUGAGGAUAUUCUGAAUAUGUACUAUCAUCAAAGCAAAUAAUUACUAAGACAAGUCCCACUGAUUUCUUCGGUAACAAAAGAAUUACUCAACAGGUUUGUCAACAAACAACAAAGAGAAACGUGGGAUCUUUCUUCUGAUACUCUCUAGAUAGAACACCUCUCCAUGAGAAGUGUAUUUUUAUUUCUUUUUUCAAGAAAAAUAUCUGAAAUAAAAUUCCCAGCACAUCUUCUGUUUCCCUAGGUGUAGAGUCUAGGAACAGUUCAAUUUGAUAAAAAAGGAGAUUUCUCAAAAGUUGGGAGAAGCAGCACACUGCUGAUCAAUGUACACUUGCUCAAAGAAACGCUUUCCUCAGUCUCUAUUUGUAGUUAGUCUUUAGAAGAUGGAAUCAACUAAGCAUGCCUGAAUUGAUUACUGAAGUUGAAUCUAAGUCGCAUCAAUAGUUUUCCAAUGCCUUUCUAAUCAUUUUAUAUUCAUUAUUAGUAUUUAACUGACAAUGUAAAGCUUGUCCCACCUGCGUGAGCUAUCACAUACAGUAACAAAUAUGAGAUGGUACAUACCUAUGUCUAUCUAAUAACUUAGCUAAGACUUGAGAGAGAACCAUAUUUAUAGAAACUAUCAAGAUAAAAUUGAGAUAUAACUUAUCUAAGGCCUUAGAGAAAUGAAGUUUGAGGUUGAACAAAGAGAGCCAGUGCCUCCUUUUCUAGUCUUCUGAGAUAUAUGCAGAAGACUGGAGCUGAAUCAUUUCCUAUUCACAUCAAAUUGGGUGUGCAUCCUAAAUAUGAUGAUUUUCUAUAGCCGGUUUCUCAUUUUCCUUGCUUAAAAUUUCCAAUGUCAAUCUCUCUGCACUUGCUGGAUUAUGCAUCCUAGUCCUAUAGUUAAGCUUGCAUUCAUGAAAACACAAUGGGACAACAAAAUAGGCUUGGUCUAUUUCACUAAGCUCCAAAUGCCGGUUAUCCUGUUAUUAUUUUCCAUAAAUUCUUGUUUUCUCCUGCCAAUCCUGUGCUUCAUUGUAUGCAGAGGUAUGGAUCCUAUAGCUGAUUGUCCUACAAUCUAAAGUAAAACAUAUAUAGAGUACCUCCAAUUUUUCAAUCCAAAGAUUAUCUUUUCCUCUGUCAAUUCGAGUUGACAAAAUAAUUUUUCUCGUUGCCCUAAUAAGCCUCAUCCUACAGCAUUUUCUUCAACCCAGUCUUCUAAAUAUCCAACCCCACAUAGUUUACAUAAAUGUUUUAAUUAUUGUCAUUCUUGUGAAAAUUUUUCCUAAACCACUACUUGUUGGUAGUUGCAGGUACAGACUAUUGUUGGUCUUUUUCCCUUUAGCGACCUGUAAUUUCCUAGAAAAACAUUUUUUUUACUUGAACAGGGAGUAACUUGGUAAUCUAAAAUCAAGAUCAAAAUUUGAUCAUCAAUUUGUUCUCCGCAGGCAACAAACGCUGAUAAGAUGCAUCAUCGUCCUGUCCAUUUGUGCUUUCUCUCCAAAAAUUUUCAUAUGCUGGUUAAUAUUUUACAACCAACCACUAUUUUAUUUUAUUGUUCCCAAGUUAUCUAUAAAUUUUAAAAACCCAUCGGCUGCUUCCAGCCAAACAGAUAUGGAUAUGAAAACCUAUAAGAAUCAUGGCUACACAAGUUAAGUGAACCCUAGAAGCGCCUCUAACCUCAAAGUGAAAUUUAUGGCCAUAGAGAAAUGGAACACAUACCAAAACACCCUUGUUCUCUUUCAUUACACCAAUAAAUAUCAACAAAGAUCUUCAUCAUUUGGUCCUAUGAAACGAGGCUUCCAGUUAUGCUAACCCUAGUUUUCAUGCCUUCUUUUGGUUAGACAGAUCUUUCAAAUCUGCUUUUAAUUCCACUUCAAGAAGAUCUUUUAUCACCCAUGCUCAAUGACCUAUGCUAUACAAACACGUGUAAUCGAAGCUAUAUACUCCCCACCAUCCAGAGAACAUAAGUUUGAGCACGUAAAGUAGCCGAAUCACAGUUACAAGUCCUGAUUCUGGCCCCUAGGAUGACAUCAACAUGUUAGAUGAAGAGACACCAAAUAAACCCAAAUUUAUUCGGGAAAUCAAGAACAAAGGAGAGGGUACCAACAGCCGCAAGUCAGGGCAGUGGAAGCCGCUCUUGCCAAGGUAAUGCUCCACAAGCUCGUCCGGUAUCUAAUCCACCAUACGAGACCAGGUAAGCCGGUUCCUUUAGGAUGCAUCAGGAAUCGAUUGACGGGGAUCAGAUUGUUUUACCGUGGGGGUGUAGUCCAUGAGGGAGGAGAGGAACUCGGUGAGGCCGGAGUCGUCGUCAUGUCUGCCCUCGCCCCCCAUCGAAGACGACGACGAGGAGUUCAUCGCCGCCCGCUGAUAGCCGCCUUCUUCGCCUCCCCUCGCCGACGCUGGCCCGCAAACGACGCCAAGAUAUCGCUUUGCUCCGCCCUCGGUGACGCUUACGCCUCUUUGAUCCCCGGACUCACAUGCCCCAUCCUUUAUCGGGUCGUAUGCGGGUUGGAUCCGCCCCCGGACUAAACCCGCAUCUAUAAUAAUAAUAAUGAUAAUAAUUAAUGUUUACCGCAAAUUAGUUCUCCUUAUCAAUCUCAAUUCGAUGGUGAGUUCAUAUCUUUGCGGUCCCCACAAAUCGCUGCGCCAAAGGAAAUGACCGCAGCGGUUCAAAAAAAUUCAAGCCCAUCGCCGCCCACUUCGGUGCCUCAGGCGACAUGGUUACUAUCCAACGAGAGGCACCGGUGAGCGGGCCCUCGCUGUUCCACGGUGGGCUCCACGAACGUCUCGAGUGAAAAUUGUCUGUACCCUGCCGGGAAUUCAACAGAGAAGCACGAGGCGCCCUGUUAGGGACCGACGACCAUGAGACGACGCCUGGUUUUGACGUGUACAGGCGACAGGUUUGUUGACCGAUGACGAAGCUCUCCAUAGCGGAACCCAUCGUUCCAAGGUGGGUCCGGGGAUAUUCGUGACUAAAGAAAGCUGAAUCCUGUCGCGGGCAAGGGAACGGCGGGGCAAAAGCGUAAACGCGGACUGUGGUUGCCCGUUCCGUGUCAUAACAGACACAGCUGAAAGGUGGGGGGAGGGGGAGCGGACGGGGGGAAAGAAACCCGCUGCCGAACGAAACCACUCCUUUCCGCCGCCGCCUCCUCCUUCCCCUUUACUUCCCCCCCUCUUUCUCUCGGCCGCCUCUCUCAACCGCCAACCGCUUCCGAUGGCCGAGGAUGCCGAGGUACGCUCCCAAGACCCAAAUCAUGAGCAAAAGAGCCCUUUGUUGUCUCGUCCAAUCUUGCCUAUGUUUUGCCUUUUGGAUAUUUGGUCGUCAUUUGCUGAUCUUGUUUGUGUGGUGUUUCGUGUUCUUCGUGGAGGAAUCGUUCAGAGAAUGGCGGCGCUGAAGCGGGCAUUUGCGGAUGUUAUCUUGAACACGGCGAAGGAGUCGGCGGUUCGGAUUCUGGCCUCGGAGCGGAGGGUGCUCCAGCUGCAGCAGAGUCUGUCGCUCGCCAGGGAAGAGUCACUGGACAUGCUUCUCCGAUUGAAGUCCAUCAUGGACUCCAAGGUGAUGGCUCUAUCUCCUAUUUCACAUUCUUCAACAUCCGUUCAGUUCUCUUUAUGGCAAAAGAUCGCUUUUAGGGGGGAUUUCUCUUCUCGAUAUCCAGUAUGCACGUUGAUAUGCUUGCUUAGUCAAGAUGAGCUCCUUAAGUUUGGUUGUUAGGCCCCAAAUAUCAUGUUAGGGCAUGCUGUUUGCUGGAUUAAUAGUUUCUGCCUAAGCUAUAAAUGCGGUUGCCAUUGCCUCUACUUUCUAAUGAAACGAAGUAUUGCUUAGCCAUGUCCAGUCAUAUCAGCUGUUUUAUUUUCUCUAGUAUUCUCUAUCUUUAUCACCAGAUAUAUGUCUCGUUUUUUAGAUUAGAAGAUUUGACUCUCUCCAUCCUGCUACAUCAUCAGAUAAAAUAUAUCCUAAUGUUUAGGAAACUUUAUAGGCCCAUAAUAUGCUGCAAACAUGAAAAAUCUGCUAACUAUAACAUUCAUGCUUAAUUUUACAAAAUGGUGAUUCUACAAUGCUUUGACAGCCACACAUCAGUUUUGUGUAACAUGGAGUAGUAACUAUGUAUUAAAUUUUCUUCAUGAAAGCAAAUAUAUUCAUGUUUUUUGGAUCUGGAGAUCAGAUGUCAUAUUGCCACCAUGAGAUUCAAAGCAAUCUCAUUUCAUUUUUUUUGUUCCUUCCAAGAGGAAGACAUUAUCAGGCAGUUGAAGUUACAUAAGUUUUGGACAUAGCUUUGGGGACCAAAAUAACCAAUUUAUAUUGUUUAUUAAUUUUUUCAGGAAUAUAAUUCAUACAUUAAUCAUUUUGCCUAUAUAGUAUAUACUGUGCUACUUGUUUCUAUCUUAUAACUAUUUUCAUGAAUAUGUUCUUUGUUGCAACAGAUACUCCCUAGAGGUUGGUUUUUGUAUUUUUGUUGCACUUAUGAUGAUAUACAAUAGUGGAACAACUUUAGAGGAUAUGGCACUUAUUAACUUGCUUUGUGGAAGUUGAUUUGGUUAAGGUCCUUAAUACUUCUGCUGGUGGUACUUUUUUUUAAAGUUUAGUUUGUUGUAGAAUGCUACAUAGUAAAUUGCUUUUGGCUUUGGUUAAGGUCCUUAUUACCUUUUGGCUUAUAAUUUAGAUGGGUUUUGAAGAAAUUGCUUACAAUGAAUGUUGGUUUUACAGAUUAAUGAAUCGGAAAAGUCCAAUCUAUCUCAGGUAAGGAAAAUUCAAAAACUUGAAGUUCAACUCGGUGAAGCAAAGGGUACAAUAAAUUUUCUUAGAUCUGAACUGAAGAGAUUGAAUUCUGAAUUGGAUCAAAGGAUGGAUAUUCAAGCUGAGUUUCCCGAUGGGAAAAGCACAGGUCACAAUGCCACUUCUGAGAAAUAUAAUUGUAAAGAAAACAUACAUAAUUCUGACUCACACCUGUACUCUAAAAGAGGAGCCAAAAGUGUACCGAAUUCUGACUGCUGCUUCACCAAAGGCGUGACACAAGAUGAACCUUUGAAUAAUUUGAUUGCAGUGGAUAAUUACGCUGGCAACCCUGACUUGGCAUCAAUAAUACUGAGCAACAAAGAGCCAGAGCUUUAUCGAAACGGAUGCACCCAGAGGAUUCGAGCUUUUGAGCGGAAUCAAGUAUCUGGGAAAGAGUUCUCUACACAAAUCCAUGACCAGGUCUCAGACAUAAAGAGUGAAACAAUGAUGUGUGAGAAUGGAAAACCUGAAAGGUCUCACACCAAAGAUUUUGCUAUGGUGAAGAAACCAGUGUGUCAUAGGAAACGAAGAGUGCAUUGUAAAAAGCAUAUUAUGAAGUCCACAGAAUGUGGUUAUCAUGACAUGCGACAUUGUAGAUCCCUGGAGAGUAGUCAUUCUAAGUUUUCUAUGGCAACUGACCAUAUGUCAAACAUAAAGAAUGAAACAAACAUGUGCGAGAAUAAAAAAGCUGAAAGGCCCUGGGCCAUAGAUUUUGGUAUGGCAGAAAAAAUAGUAAGAAGAAAAAUGCGGCGUCAAAAACGCAUGAGGCCUGCUAAAUGUAUUACUUAUCAUGACAUGCAACAUUAUGGACUGCUAGGUAGUAAUCAUUCCAAGGUUGGAGAAAAUGACAAGGAUAGAUCUGCUGGUAAUUCACAGAGGGCUAGCGGUGAAGCACCUCUAAAGACACUGGAUUCUUGUUCACCUCAGAUGUCUGGAGAAAAUCAGGAAACAACAAAAGAUCAAAAGACUAAGUUGAACAAAUUUUCCAAUCAUAGAAUCUCAGGGCUUUUAGAUGGCAAUAGAAUAAUGACAAGGAGAUCUGUUCUGAAACUAUGCAAUACUUGUGAAGAUCAUACUGGUGGAAGCCAUACUUCUGGUAGUGGAGCCACUUUUCAAGAAAAUAGUCUAAAGGAAUCUUUGGUACUAGGUACAAGUGAGGUGAUUGAUGAUGCAGUUUCAGAUGCUGUUAAAAAUGGCACACUGCUACAUGAGAUAAUGUUGUCAAAAGCAGAUGAUAAAUUAGCAGAAGAUUUGGGUACUUCUAUAACAAAAGAGGGUCACGAUGAUUGUAAAGAUGAACCUUUCAAGCCAUGUGGACCUGCUGCUGAAGAUCGAAGUGACAAAAUCCUCAAAUAUACCUUUCAGAGGAAGCGGAAGAGGGUUUCUAUAGAUAGCAAAGUUGACUCUACAUCUUUAGAGGGAAGCAUGUCCAAGCAAACAGUGGAGAAAGAUAAUGCUGUGCUGGACCCUCAGAAAUCUAGCUUACUAGUGGAAUCAUCCAGAGAGAGUAGGAGACUGGCACAGGUUGCUCGACAGGUUAGUGAAGUUACCUCCUCCCUGUUUCACAAAUGCAGUGUCUACAUGGAUAACAGGAACCUUAGUGUUCAAAAGACUAUGCAACUGGACUUAUGACAUCAUUUAUCUUUAAGUGACCAUGUAUUGACCUGUUAGAAAGUUCUUAUUAGUUAGAUCUGUUAGCAUAAUCAUUUCUAACAUGUCCAUAUAAAUAAACAAUGGGGAAAAGAUUCAAGAGAUAAUGCAGUAGUUAGCUUCUCUAAAUUACAUCUAACAUGAUUAAUAAUUAUUGGGAGGUACUUCAUCACCGUGCCUAUUGGUCCUUCAAGACUAAGGAUAUGAGGGCCUACAUAGGUAUUCUAUUCUAAUUGAUUAAUUUCAAAGAAUUGAUAUUUGAGUUUGAAAGGAAAGACAUGUGAUGUGACUUUAUCGAGCAUAAUUCUUGAUUGCAUUGUUGGUUUACUUUUCCUUUGCACCAUUCAUUGAUGUCAAGGAUAACUUCCUCAAAUAAUUGAAGUUCUGACAUAGUCUGUACUAAUCUUUUCUUUUCGCAUCUAGUUACGUAGGUGAAUGCAUUAUGACUAGAGGUGCCAUGACAAUUUCAUGUACUGGUGUAAACAAAGCUGAAAUGACCUGAUAGGGGGAUCAUGUUCAGGUGAGUCAAACAAACAUGAUGUUUCUGUUAGACCAAGCUCGAAAAGUGCUUGAUCCUCCAAAGUUCACACUCAGCUUCACCAAAAUCAUCAGGCCUAGUUCAUCUAUUUCGGAGAUUGAAGAAAUGGUUGAUGUUUUAUGGAGGUAGCUAGAACAGAAUCCAAGGACACAAGGGUGAGAAGAGGUGCAUGCAUGGGCAUUGAGAUGGAAGAUGAAGAUGGUAUGGCAUGGUGGCUACAAUGUGAAGAGAAGUGCGAUUACAAGGCAUGACAGAGAAGGCUAAAGAGAGAGAGAACUAUGGCCAAGUACCAGAGAAGUCUUAGGGUUUCAAAUCAUAUCUCAUAUUAUAUAUACUACUAUGUUAUCUCAGUUUUUAGAUAAAAAUAAAUGGCUAAAAUUAGAGAGCUCGAGUUUUAUACAACAACAAUAGGAUAUGAUGUCCCACCAAAAGACUCAAGCUAUAUUAUGCAAGGUUUAAAUCUUGAGCCAGUGUCGAUACUAGUUGGUGGCUGGACUAGUAUGGUACCAGUUUAUCUCAUCAUAAUGAUUCUUGGUACAGGUUGGUAUAUCACAAGCCCAACAGAAGAGGAGGUAGAGGAGCAAGAGGAACAUGAAAAGAAGAUAAAGUAGAGGAAGACAAGGGGGGAGAGAGGCGUACCUUAUGCUGGAGAGGAGGCAGCGACCCUUACAAGGAGGAGAAAGUGGUGGUGGUGGCAACCCUUACAAGGAGGAGAAAGUGGUGAGUGACGAGUUGGAGGCAGCAGUGGCAAAUUGGUGGGGAGGAAGAGGCGGAGGGGAGAGAGAUAUGAUGCAUGAGAGAAAGAAAGAGACUGUGCAACGAGAAAAAGAAAGGGAAAAGAAAUGAAAAAGAAAAGACAGCUGUCAAGCUAUCGAAAGAAAAAAAGAAAAAGGAAACCUAAUGGUAGGCUUACAAUUUGGUACACCCUGUUUCGAUUGAAAAAAGAGGAUGUUACAUCUGAGACGCUGAUUAUAUCAAGCUGUAAGCCUGGUAUGGAAUGGUACCAGACAAAAAUUUGUGGUCCACGUACCAAUUCACUGUUAGAAUGUUAAAUACUGGUCUGUACCUACCAGUACACUUGAUUUUUAACACCAUGAUGUUAUGUAACAUCUAUAGUAAGCAUAGGUGGACUUGCAAGAUCUUAAAGAAGGUGAGUUUUUCUUAACAAGCUGUACGCAAGAGUUAGCAAACAACACUAUUUCAGCGUAAGCUCAUGUCUUGCAAACAAGCCAAAUGACGAGCCAACCAUGUUCAGUUAGUAAACAUUGCAUUAGGCUUACUGCCCUUCAACCAUGUUUCUGUCUGUCAUGGCUAAGUGUUACAUUGGCCUUUCACCUAAAAUUUUGCAUUUCUACAGGCUUUACAGUGAUACUAGUGAAGAAUUAAAUCUAGGCAUAGGGAACUCUAUAUUAUAUUAUGCCACUAAUGAUGAAUCAAAUUUCAAUUGGAUUCUGUAGGUAUUUAAAUAAAUUUAUACAGACAUAUAUAUAGAUAAAUGUCAUCUUUUACUCAUUAAUUUCUACCCACAGAUUGGAAUGAUAGAGAACAAAAUUGACUUUGAGAUUUGAUGUUCCUUGAGAAUAUAUGCAGGCACCUUAAGUAUGCCUUUCCAUGGGAUUAUUUAUGAUUAUCCAAAAUAAUUUAGCCUAGUUUUUGCGACUAGAAACUAGAAACUUGAUUGUCGCAUUUUAAAUUCACUUAAUUAGAACCAGCCGAAUAGAAAACUUGUGGCUUGUGCCUUAAUUAAACUAUUCUGUUAAGAUUGUGCAAUACUUUAUGCAUAGUCCUUAGCACUCAAUACCUUUGCUUAAAAUAGGCUGGCUUUUGUGGAAAGGCAUCAUAACUAUUGAAGAUUCUCUCCAAAUAGUUUGAUGCUUUGAUCUUUUACCAAUGUUUUUCUUUUCCAAGUUCAUAGUAACCUGUAUAUGCACCCAUCAACUAAAAGCAUAUUUUUUUAGCUACUAUGAUGGACUUCCUCUAGUAUGGCCCUCAGUGUUGUUAAAUUAAAUAACUUAACUCCAUUCUGGUCAAAGUUUCUUGUAUGCAUGUGUCUUGAAUGAACAAAUGCAUCUCUGUUUGAGCAAAACCUCCCACUUCAUGUCUUUUUCAUAAAUUGAUCAUUUCCAUGAAAUCUAGUCAAAUCAAUUAUUUACUAUGAGAAGAAACUUGUACCCUUAAAAUAUUUAACCAUGCAAGUAUCUAACUUUUUUCAGUAUUGCAAGAAAAGAGUUGGCAACAACCAAGUAGGAUAUUUUUGUGAUUAGGACACUUGGCACACUAAACACUUGUUUUAGAAUAAAUCCCAAUCGUAAGAUAAGAGGCAGGAUUUAUGAACAUAUGAUAAGGGAAAAAAAGAGGAACAAAUGAACUGUCAAAGGCAAUAACUACUAGAGGAAUGUGUCUUGGUUAUUAGUGGACAUUUUUUAAAUAUCCUUUUAUCUAUCACCAUAACUGGUUAGGGUUGUUUUUUAGGCUACAUGAAUCUCAUUAAGCUUUGUGUAGGAAAGCAUCCCUAGUUAAAUUAAGAGAGAUCAAAUAUCUUAUUAUUCUUGCCACUAAAGUUCUCUUAGGUUUCUCUUUCUGCUCUCAUUAAUUUUAACUCACCUUAUUUAAUCUUUGUAUUUCUAUCUCUUUUUGAGCAUCUUCAUAUCAUUUCAAUUGAGUUUCUAUCGCUUUAUUUAUUUAAGGCUAUCUCUGUCUCAAGAAUUCCAUUUUGCACUGUGUCAGUCAAAUCGGUGUUUGUCGAUUGGACCAAGGAUCAAUAUUGGACCAUAUAGAUUAGUCCCGUUCAAUAUUUCUUAUUUCAUUAUUUUGUUCAAUGGAUAUCAAAUAGUAUGAGUCUGUACACCACCCAAUAAUAUCAAUAUCAUAUUAGUUCGACCAGUUACUGAAACUGGUAUCAGACUGCAAUUUGAAUCCUUGACCUAAACUGUUUGUGAAUUAGUAAUUAUGCACAUUUACCUUGGUUUCUUCUCUGCUAUGUAAACUUUUUUGUCUGAGAAAAGAGGAAAAAGCAGUAUAGGUGCUCCAGAGUAAGUAGAUGGAUCUAGGUCUUCAUAAUUGGUAGCAUCCUAGGUCCUAACAGAUAUCAAGGUUGAUCAAAUUAAUGUUCUAAAUAUUGGGCAUUUCACCCAUUAUUUUUUGGUCUGAUAGGGGAUUGACACGUGUCUGAUUCAAUUUAAAAUAGGGAAAAUUCUUUUACUUCUUAAAUUAUGGAUGGCUAAAAGCAAUAGUUGACAGGUUUCAACAACUUCCCUGCUCCUUUCUUUUUCCUCUGCCUUCCACAUCACAACUUCAACAUUCACCUUGUUCUGUCACUAUGUUGUCUCUUCCUCAUCUUCCUCCAUUUCUUCCUCUGUCUCAUCUUUUCCUCCAGUCAUACAAUGAUCUGUACUGGUCUGCCUGUUGAUCAAUAUCAGCACUGCACUGAGAUUUCAAAUCUUGAAUAAAAUAUUUACUGCUUUGUUAUUUCUUUUCUCAUUACUAAUGAAACAAGGGAAAACACAUGAAUCUAAAGGUCCAUGCUCAUCCUAUACUUCAAAACAAUUUCUAAUUCUUGUUAUAUUCCUGUAACAACAGAAGUAUAACUUCAAUACUAGUGACAUUUAUAGGUCCAGCAUUUCCACAUGGGUGGCUCUUUUGAGAGGCUCUGCUGGAUUGCAAAUUAUAUCUAAAAUUCUCAGGAGCUUAAUUUUCUACUCUUUUAUUUUCAGCUCAUUUCCUUGUCUGAGAGGAGAUGGUGAUGGAUCUACUGCUUUAUCGCAUGCAAAGUGCAUUUCUGGAGUCCAGAAGGAAGUUUUACACUUCAGUAUUUUCAGGACUGCUUCAUUGCUGCUCAGGUUCCAACUUGUUCCACAUUUGAACACAUCAAAGCAUGCAUCUCUGUUCCACCAUGUUGGCAGCUGUAAUGUAAACAUAGAAAAGGGCUGCAGCAAAAUAGAAGAAUUAUAAGAAAACUAGACAGUGCUACAGUUAAUGAUAUAUUCCAUGAUAAUCUCAGCAGAGUUCAGUCCUUGUUUUUUCCUCUUUUUAGUUAUUUAUGAUGUACCAUCUUCCAUUUUGAGAUAUAUAUUAUUCUCAUCCAGGCUUUCCUAGUCCCCACUGUCCGACACAUAUUGUAUCGGUUGGUUAAAGAUCAACUUGAAGAUGAUUCUUUGGUGGCUAUACCAUUAUGAACAUUUACACAAAUUGCAAUUCUGCAAAAUUCCAGCUUUUUAUGCUAUCUUCCAUGCUGUUGAAUUGCAUAUUUGCAUCUCUGUAGAUUGAAAAUAAGUGUUGCUUUACAACAGUUUUUUAUAAAUUAAUUCUAGAAAAGGAGACAUGAUUUCUAAAUGCAGAUAGGACAGCUCAUGAAAGAACUUCACAACUAGCUUCCUGUCAUUCAUGUGACAAGGUUACAAUGCAACUGUUUUCUUGAUAGUAGAGUUGUUUUCCAGUUUAAUAUGAUUCAAACUUUCCUGCUCCCCUUUUUUCAUGCUGCAAUAAAUUCUUGAUAGCGGAGAGUUGAGCUUAUGUUUUCUUGAUGGAGUUCCAGUUGAAGCUGUCCUUGUUAAGUGUUCCAUGUAAGUAGAUUCACUCUCCCUUCUUUAGUUUAUUGCUAUCAGUACAAUAUAAACAGUUGUAGUGUUUUAGUUUUAGAACACAACACAUAUGUUUUCCUCACACAAAAAAUGCCAUUUUUAUUGCAGAAAAUGUCAUUUACAUAAAAUGAAACAGUUGCUAUGAAUGCCUUUGAAGUGGACAAGAAAGAAUUGUAAAUGCUGCAUGCUUAAUUCACUGUGACAAGUUGUUUCAUUUUCACUUCAAAGCAUGGAGAGAUGUUUUUGUUUAUAAGAACAAAAAUUCCUAAUUAGUUUGGCAACUUCCAUUUCCUGUUUUCUUUUACUAUCUUAGGAAAUUCUAAAUAAAUUCCAUAUCUGUUCCUAAAAUAUAUAUUUGAAGCAUCUAAACAUCAUCUUUUUGCAGGUCAUCCAACCAUCUAAAAUUAUACCUACCACAAACAUGCUAUAAUACAAAACAAAAUAAAUAGAAGAAACAGUACAGUGUACUCCUCGCCACUACUGCCCCUACAAGUGUCAAUGCACCCAUAGCCCGCUCUACCCGAUCCGAACCUGACCCGGUAACACGAGUGAUGACCCCCGCUUCUUGAUCCGUUAAGCCAUUCGAUCGGAUCUGAGACAUUGAUCCAUACUCCAUUAACCCUACUGUUUGUUAUCGGAUUCGGGUUUAGAUUCCAGGAACAUCACGCUCAGAAUCCGACCCAUUUCCAUCCUACUUAUCUCUUAUUCAAAAGGAAAUCGAUACUUACCUUUAAACGUACGCCAAGACCCUUUUGUCAGGUCCUUCGUGGGCUCCAUUUGAGCUUCCAGUCUUCGCACGGGUAGCCGACGGAGUCGGUCGAACUUGUUGGACUGACCAUGCGGCAGUAGUAAUAUCCUAAUCCUUACAGGGGUGAUUUUGUAAAUUUGGUCACGUCUGGACCUCAAUUAAGCUGUCGUAACGAAAGAAUGCGAUUUGCAUUGUUGUUAUCCGGUUUGCUUCGUUCUGCGUUCCUUCGUCCUCUCCUCAUCCACACUCUUUGUUUCCGUCUUCUAUCCCCGAGAGAGAGAGAGGAGCUUCUUGUGGGUGAAAGAUGGAUUCAGAUGACGGCUCCCACGCCGCUAUGUCGCGCGACAUCGGCAGGAGAAAGAGGGUACUGGGUAUUCUUCCUCCUCAUCGAUUCGUGCGAUUCGAUGCCAAUUGCAUGCCUCAUCCGUUUGUUCUGCUGAUCAGACCAACAGGUCCGCGAAAUUGAAGCAGUGCAAGCUCGAUGCGAGGCGCGAGCAGUGGCUGUCGCAAGGUGCCCGUCCGAUUCGUUUGCCGCUAGGGAUUCGGUAGCGGGUUUUGGGGGGAACGAGUGGAUUGAGUUUAGUUCCUUCGGAGAUCGAAGGAUCUCUCUUUUGGGGUUUUAUUUUUUGGUCUUUUGGUGUCAAAAUUUGAUUUUGUUGUAGCUUUCCUGUUGAUCUGCAGUGAAGAGCAAGGAUUGCGUGGUGCGGAGCAGGGCACCUUCUGAUUCUCCUCCUCUCCCUCAUCCGACGCUCUCGAAGGAGUUAGGUCGCAGGCCGAAGGAAGAGGAGGAGGAGGAGGAGCAUCGGGAUGAGGUGGGGCUUGAUGGAUCGAGCUUUCACGGCAGCGAGGAAGGUUCUCCGACUCACCGCAGCCCUCUUCCCGGAUGCCCUAACAAUAGUAUUAGUAGCGGGAGCAGCUUUGGCUCCUCCUCGAGAAGCAUCAGCGAUGCCGAAGUGGAGGAAGAUGAUUCCGAGGAGAGAGGAGAAGAUAAAGGGGAAGUGGAGGAUUGGGAGGCCUUUGCUGAUGCGCUGUCUGCCGAUGAACCCAAUCCGAACCCCGUAGCAACCAUCCCGGAAUCUACCGCAGCACCCGGCAACACGAUCAAGGAUCGCGGUGAGGGCUUGGAAAAGCCGGAUGCUAAGCAGGCGGUGCACAGGGCUUGGAGGCCAGAUGAUGCUUUCCGUCCACGGAGCCUGCCCAACCUCUUGAAGCAGCGGAGUUUCCCUGCCAGCAUGGAGCGGCACUACGCCGCAGCUGGGUGGGCUCAGCAUGGCAUCCUCUCCACACCAUCUUCAUGCCCCAUCUGCUACGAGGACCUUGAUCCGACUGACUCGAGCUUCCUCCCCUGUAACUGUGGCUUCCGCCUCUGCCUGUUCUGCCACAAGCGGAUUCUUGAGGUAGACGGGCGGUGCCCCGGGUGCAGGAAGCAUUAUGCUCCUGCGGUGGGUGGUGAGGUGGGCACCGUGAGAGGAAUGCCACCCUCGACUCUCCGCCUCUCUCGUUCUUGUAGCAUGAGUUCAAGAACUUAGGGUGAGAGUUUACAGUACUUCUUCCGUUCUCUCUAGUGAGUAUUCUCAUUUAAGGAGCUAUGGGUCUAUUGUGUUUUCAUUGUUAUAGAGCAUAUGUUGAAGUUUCUCAUAAGGAAAGCCAUGUGAAUAUGGGCAUAGGGUUUGGGCUUAUAAGAACUGAUUUUGUCAGCUUAGUGCAGUUAACAUGCUCUGCUUCAUUCACAUGGAUGUGUCUAUGUGUGUGGACAGAUAGAUUUUAUCAUGUAUAAAAACUGUUACAAUCUGCUAAUCAUUGUAGGUUGAAGUUUGAACAUUCUCUUAUAAUUGCUUUUGAUUUUAUACAGGGAAGAUCAUUUCGAUAUUUGUUUUAUUGAGUUCUAUUUUGUAGAUUAGUUUCUACUAAUAUAUAUGUGGAACACAUCCGUCACACUGCAUCAUUGCAUUUUUUUUUCUAAAUGAUGCUAGGAACUUAUUGGUUGUGUUCCUACAUUGGUACUGUGAAUGAUUUUUCUAGUGGUCUUCCUCUCUCCUAAUGCUUUUGUACAUGCAGCGUAGCCGCAUGUUUCUGUUAUAGUGUACAUUGCAUUCCGAAAGGUGAAGAAAAGUGGAGUCGGAGGCGCAUUCAGGCUGUGAACGAAUCUGUCGAGCUGUUUCCGGUAUUUCAUCUCUUACAUGCAUUUGGCUUCGGAGAUGGUGAGCUAGCUUAAUUCUAUUUAUUGAGCCAAGUUUAUGUCUAAUUAAUUUCCAUUUAGUUCUGCUUUCCAAAAACACAAAAAAUACAUAUUUCUAGACAUCUUCAGAAUUUUAUUGAAAAUGUGAGACUGGUAAGAUUCAUAUGAUAGGUAUAGUGUCUUAAUAGGAAUCAACCAUAGAGGAAAUGUAUUCCACCAAAAAAUUCUCAUUUGAUUGGCCUACAUUCUUGACAGAGUGCUACAAUUUCAGUUCUUUAGACAUGUCAAUGGUUGAUUCAUACAAGGGAUCUCAUAUUAAAUGGGAGCAUUCUUCUUUGAAAGAAUUGGCUGUACUAAUGAGUUUUAUUUUCAUUUUUUAAGAUAAGGUUUCAGUUUGGCAACAGUUGUCGUCGUCCUGCCUUACUACUCCAUAUCCUUCUACAUUCCUUCUUUCCUGUUCUCUUUAUACUGUUCUGUGAGAAUCCAUGCAGCAGCUGAUUCCUUAUUGAUUUUGAUUUCAACAGGGAGUUGUCUUCAGUUUCAAUGGUUGAUUCAUACAAGGGAUCUCAAAUUAAAUGGGAGUAUUCUUCUUUGAAAGAAUUGGUUAUACUAGUGAGUUUUAUUUUCAUUUUUUAAGAAAGGUUUCAGUUUGGCAACAGUUGUCGUCGUCCUACCUUCCUACUCCAUAUCCUUCUUUCCUGUUCUCUUUAUACUGUGUGAGAAUCCAUGCAGCAGCUGAUUCCUUAUUGAUUUUGAUUUCAACAGGGAGUUGUCUUCCUGUCUUCUUCCUCCAGAUUCUUCUACAUUUCUUCCACCCUGUUCUCUUUGUUUUGUUCUUUGAGAAUCAUGGAGCAGUUGAUUCCUUAUUGUUCCAACAGGGUUGAGUUGUCUUCCUCUGUAUUCUUCUUUCUUCUUCUCUAUAUGCCGAGGUAUGGGGAAUCCAUGAAGUAGCUGUUGAUUCCUUAUGGAUUCCAGUCAGUUCUCUACUGUUUAGAAUUGAGCUCAUGUUUAGGUUCAGCAUAUUGAGGAAAGAGUUAAGUGAUGAAUGUUUAGCAAUUGCUCAAGGGUAAGCUUUGUAGUCAAAUUGACAAUAAACCAUGCAUCUUUCUUGACACCAAUUCUAGUGUUAUUGUGUGCUAUAGUACAUCUGUCAUAUAUGCACGAGGAAACCCUAAAUUGUUCUUUAUUCACAUAUUGUCACAUUUCCAUCAUGGGAGAGUGGAAGAAUCAAGAUCUCCAGGAUGAGAUUAAUCAAACAUUGAAGAAUCAGUUGAUGCAGUUUAGAUCAUGUAAGGGUCAGAUCUACUCAGCAUACACAAUUAAUUCUCAGCUUUAGGGUUUAGGGGACAUGUUAGGAAGGGGAGUUUGUCUGGUACAAUGAACAUAGUUUAAUCUUUAUCAAAAAGCUUAUCAUCUUCCUCUUUCAUUAUUUUCUUCCCUCUCUGUUCAUUGACUUCAUUCUAUCCUUUUAUCUGUCAAACAAAACCCUAUCCAGCAUUAGAUGUGCAUCCUAAUUCUUCCAUCCCUGCUCUGUGAUUGUGCCCAACCCUACUGCUGUAUCAUUGGACAGCAUUGUUGUUAUCACAUUUUCUACCCUAGCAUGCCACCCUCCGUUGGUUUUGUAUCUUCAUCAAUGUUACCUUUUCUAUCCAGUGGAAUGAAGGUUCUUUAGUGCAGCUUGAUAAAUAUGUUGGAGCUUAUCCUAUGCAUGUGUAUCUUUAGAAGUCUGGAAGCUUAUAUGAAAAAUUCUAUUGGACAUGUAGAAGCUGUAUCUUAUCAUAUGAAGUUAACUUUUUCUAUUAUGGCUCCUGAUGUAAAAAACAAUCUAAAAAUGCACUGUGCAUUGUAAGUUGGAUAUAUCUGAAUUGAUGCCUUAGCAAAGUCCAUAAAGCCUCAAAAUAACAAAUUCAGAAGAACAUAAAAUAAAAUCUGAACUCUUGAUGACUUGAGCAAUUUUAAGGCAUCCAUUAUUACUGCAAUCUUGGCUUCCCAACAUUUGGAUGUUAGGAUACUAAUUUAAGCUUCAAAUUGAAGCUUUGAAUUUACAAGAAGCUACUGAAUAUUAUAAAUCAAUGACACACACUGUCUUUGAGAACACAGUGCGAUCUCAAACAAACACGACCCAAUAUCCAUGGUUUCGAACAAGGGUUUUAUUAUCACUUUGAGCUGAUCCUCCUGAAAUGCUUCACUCUGUUUCCGGCCUAGUAAAGAAAUUGUUGAUUGCUGGCAUGAUCUCUGGGUUUUUGUUCCGGACAAAUUUACGGAGACUAUGCUCUGCAUAUUUCUCUCCCUCCGCAUGGUUAUCCAGCACUCCCGCAGCCCUGCCUUCCUUGCUAACUCUGGAAAUCACAAAAAAAACACUUCACUGUUGACGCCAUAACGUCCACAAACAGAAUGCACUAGUAGAAGCCCGAGAAAAGACGAGGUUAUUUUCACCAAUUAGAAUGCUCAUCAACUGGUUAAGUAAUUAGUAACAAUAUCAACUGAUGAAUGUAUGGGUCUUAUUGUGCUUCACCCUAGUUUUUCUUUGCACUUGUGCAUGUCAUGAUGAUUUAGAGAGGUGAUUGAAGUAAACAUGAGAAAGCAAGCCAGGAAACUUGACAAUGUAGCAUAUGGUUUACAAGCAAAAUGCACAUAAGAAGCCCAUAAGAGACUAGGCAUGAUGAUUUAGAGACGUGAUUGAAGUAGACAUGAGAAAGCAAGCCAGGAAACUUGACAAGGUAGCAUAUGGUUUACAAGCAAAAUGCACAUAAGAAGCCCAUAAGAGACUAGGCAUGAUGAUUUAGAGACAUGAUUGAAGUAAACAUGAGAAAGCAAGCCAGGAAACUUAACAAGGUAGCAUAUGGUUUACAAGCAAAAUGCACAUAAGAAGCCCAUAAGAGAAUAGGCACAUCACAACUAGAACAUUUGACCAUUGGUCAACGACUUUAGAUAAUUCCUCAUAUAUGCAGAUCAAUCAAGUUUAAAAAAAAAUCAGGAUCUUCUUAUGGUUCACUCUAGUUUUUUCUUGCACUUUUGCAUGUAAUGAUAACUUAGAAGGGUGACUGCAAGGAAGUAACAUAGGAAGCAUGCAACGAAAUUUCGUAAGGUAGCCUUAUAGCAUUACAACAAAAUGCAUAUCAGAAUCCCAAACGAGAUCAGUCGUGCCAGCUAAAAAUUUCAUAGUACUCAAUAGAAUACUUCACAUUAGGUUAUCGAAUAAAAUCUCAAAGAAUGGAUCUCAUCAUAUAUGCAUAUGAAAUUGAGAGUUCUAGGCAGAAUAGAAAUCCUAAUCUAAAAGGAUUUAGNNNNNN